UACUACAACUAUUUCAAUGACAAUGUAAUAAGUAAUGCUCCUCUUAAAGGAACAUCGAUAUUUCAUCGUCCUGUUAUCAUAUAUAUAUAUCAUAACAGGACGAUGAAUUUCUUCACUUGGUGUAUAUUUCAUAAUCACAAAAAAUGUAUCAGUGCAAUUGCGUAUUAAUUUAAUCGAUGGCGUUUAUUAAUAAAUGUACAGCGUUUGUGUUAAUUCCCUAUUAUAUAUUGUUGGUAAAAAUAUUAAUUGCAUUCAUAUGUAUGUGCACUACAAGAAUUGAAAGUUCAAAUAUUUAGUGGCAGUCAAGUUUUCAUUAAAAAAAUAUGGACCAACAAUCUGGUCAUCUAUUACACCACACCAUACAUUUAUAUUCCACCGUACUUGAUUGUGGCCUUCUAUGAUCCAAUGAGGAUUGGUAUCAUUCCAUAAGUGGGAAUUAUGUCGAUUCGUCACUCCAUUGUUGCUAAAUUUAGCUAAAUCGGUCCAUAAAAUAGAAGAUAAAAAAUUUGGAUUGUCAUCAAGCUUAAUCAACAUAUGACUAAUGAAAUCUAGCCGUCGUACGUAGUCCCAAGGAACUAAAGUUUGUACCACUACGGGCUUGUAUGCGUGAUAUUUAUAUUUUUUUAAAAUGCGGUGUACAUUUCCAAAAGAAUAACCAAACUCCUCUAAAAAUAAUAGAAACUAAUAAUAAGAUAUAUAACUUCAUACUUUAUUUUAUAGAAAUACCUGCUAUAUCUCUUAUUGAUGUAUGAGGAUGGGCAAUUACAUAAGCUAAAAUUAUCAAUGCGUUACUUUCAUCACUUUUAGUAUUUUUUCUUAUUAUUUUUUUUUUUAAUCUACCAUGUUGACUUAUAGAAUUGAACACAUUUAAAAAUGUAUUCGGUGAAGGGCAUAUUCGCUCAUUAAAACGCUGAGCAUACAACCUAAAUUCAUUAAAUUUCAAAUAUGUAAAAUAAUGAAAAAACAAUAAAAAGUCAUACUAACAUUGCUGCAGCUCUCUUAUUUUUUUUGCUCUCAAUAUAGCACGUCAACAUUUCAAUUUUUUCUGAAUUGCUGUACUUCAUUUUUGAAUGUAAUAAUUUUUUAUUGAAUAAAAAAAAUGUUUUUAUAGAAUAUAA
Daktulosphaira vitifoliae (grape phylloxera) is the source of this 1118-nucleotide long non-coding RNA. RefSeq lists it as uncharacterized. The transcript has 2 exons. NCBI's taxonomy places the organism in Eukaryota, Metazoa, Arthropoda, Insecta, Hemiptera, Phylloxeridae. The record is from RefSeq and is a predicted model, not a curated record.